This 305-nucleotide ribosomal RNA is filed under the name uncultured bacterium. RNAcentral's name for it is "partial 16S ribosomal RNA". It matches the Rfam family "Bacterial small subunit ribosomal RNA", at positions 508 to 809 of the family's 1533-position model. The record is from RNAcentral.
ACAGCAGUCGCCGCGGGAAUACGUAGGUGGCAAGCGUUGUCCGGAAUUAUUGGGCGUAAAGGGCUCGCAGGCGGUUUCUUAAGUCUGAUGUGAAAUCCCCGGGCUCAACCUGGGAACUGCAUUUGAGACUGUAUGGCUAGAGUGUGUCAGAGGGGGGUAGAAUUCCACGUGUAGCAGUGAAAUGCGUAGAUAUGUGGAGGAAUACCGAUGGCGAAGGCAGCCCCCUGGGCCAAUACUGACGCUCAUGCACGAAAGCGUGGGGAGCAAACAGGAUUAGAUACCCGCGUAGUCCCUGUCUCUUAUAA